RNAcentral lists this transfer RNA (77 nucleotides) under Flavobacterium columnare. Its description in RNAcentral is "tRNA-Ala". It matches the Rfam family "tRNA". From Rfam's summary of the family: Transfer RNA (tRNA) molecules are approximately 80 nucleotides in length. Their secondary structure includes four short double-helical elements and three loops (D, anti-codon, and T loops). Further hydrogen bonds mediate the characteristic L-shaped molecular structure. tRNAs have two regions of fundamental functional importance: the anti-codon, which is responsible for specific mRNA codon recognition, and the 3' end, to which the tRNAs corresponding amino acid is attached (by aminoacyl-tRNA synthetases). tRNAs cope with the degeneracy of the genetic code in two manners: having more than one tRNA (with a specific anti-codon) for a particular amino acid; and 'wobble' base-pairing, i.e. permitting non-standard base-pairing at the 3rd anti-codon position. Lineage: Bacteria; Pseudomonadati; Bacteroidota; Flavobacteriia; Flavobacteriales; Flavobacteriaceae. The record is from RNAcentral.
AGGGGAUUAGCUCAGCUGGCUAGAGCGCCUGCCUUGCACGCAGGAGGUCAUCGGUUCGACUCCGAUAUUCUCCACUA